RNAcentral lists this ribosomal RNA (1112 nucleotides) under human gut metagenome. Its description in RNAcentral is "bacterial LSU rRNA". It matches the Rfam family "Bacterial large subunit ribosomal RNA", at positions 879 to 1990 of the family's 2925-position model. The record is from RNAcentral.
GCCUCAAGUAUUACCUGCGGGGGUAGAGCACUGUUUUGGCUAGGGGGUCAUGGCGACUUACCAAACCAAGGCAAACUCCGAAUACCGCAGAGUACAGCUUGGGAGACAGAGCACCGGGUGCUAACGUCCGGACUCAAGAGGGAAACAACCCAGACCGCCAGCUAAGGUCCCUAAAAUUGGCUAAGUGGGAAACGAAGUGGGAAGGCUAAAACAGUCAGGAUGUUGGCUUAGAAGCAGCCAUCAUUUAAAGAAAGCGUAAUAGCUCACUGAUCGAGUCGUCCUGCGCGGAAGAUGUAACGGGGCUAAGCCAGUUACCGAAGCUGCGGAUGUGCAAUUUAUUGCACGUGGUAGGAGAGCGUUCUGUAAGCCUGUGAAGGUGUCUGGUAACGGAUGCUGGAGGUAUCAGAAGUGCGAAUGCUGACAUGAGUAGCGUUAAAAGGGGUGAAAAGCCCCUUCGCCGUAAGCGCAAGGUUUCCUACGCAACGUUCAUCGGCGUAGGGUGAGUCGGCCCCUAAGGCGAGGCAGAGAUGCGUAGCUGAUGGGAAACAGGUCAAUAUUCCUGUACCGAUCAAUAGUGCGAUGUGGGGACGGAGAAGGUUAGCUCAGCCACCUGUUGGAAUAGGUGGUUCAAGCGUGUAGUCGUGCCUGGUAGGCAAAUCCGCCGGGCUUAGAUGAGGCGUGAUAACGAGUGUGCUUGCACACGAAGUGAGUGAUACCCUGCUUCCAGGAAAAGCCACUAAGCUUCAGCUAUUGAUUGACCGUACCGCAAACCGACACUGGUGCGCGAGAUGAGUAUUCUAAGGCGCUUGAGAGAACUCUGGAGAAGGAACUCGGCAAAUUGAUACCGUAACUUCGGGAGAAGGUAUGCCCUCGGUAUGUGAAGUUGAACAAACGGAGCAGAAAAGGGUUGCAAAAAAUCGGUGGCUGCAACUGUUUAAUAAAAACACAGCACUCUGCAAACACGAAAGUGGACGUAUAGGGUGUGACGCCUGCCCGGUGCUGGAAGAUUAAAUGAUGGGGUGCAAGCUCUUGAUUGAAGUCCCAGUAAACGGCGGCCGUAACUAUAACGGUCCUAAGGUAGCGAAAUUCCUUGUCGGGUAAGUUCCGACCUG